This 468-nucleotide ribosomal RNA is filed under the name uncultured bacterium. RNAcentral describes it as "partial 16S ribosomal RNA". It matches the Rfam family "Bacterial small subunit ribosomal RNA", at positions 28 to 507 of the family's 1533-position model. The record is from RNAcentral.
GACGAACGCUGGCGGCGUGCUUAACACAUGCAAGUCGAACGGAAAGGCCCUGCUUUUGUGGGGUGCUCGAGUGGCGAACGGGUGAGUAACACGUGAGUAACCUGCCCUUGACUUUGGUAUAACUUCAGGAAACUGGGGCUAAUACCGGAUAGGAGCUCCUGCUGCAUGGUGGGGGUUGGAAAGUUUCGGCGGUUGGGGAUGGACUCGCGGCUUAUCAGCUUGUUGGUGGGGUAGUUGCUUACCAAGGCUUUGACGGGUAGCCGGCCUGAGAGGGUGACCGGCCACAUUGGGACUGAGAUACGGCGCAGACUGCUACGGGAGGCAGCAGUGGGGAAUAUUGCACAAUGGGCGGAAGCCUGAUGCAGAAACGCCGCGUGCGGGAUGACGGCCUUCGGGUUGUAAACCGCUUUCGCCUGUGACGAAGCGUGAGUGACGGUAAUGGGUAAAGAAGCACCGGCUAACUACGUG